CCCAGACAGCCAGGAUGUUGGCUUAGAAGCAGCCAUCAUUUAAAGAAAGCGUAAUAGCUCACUGGUCGAGUCGGCCUGCGCGGAAGAUGUAACGGGGCUAAACCAUGCACCGAAGCUGCGGCAGCGAACGUAUCACCCAAGACAACUUUACGGAGUUGACGAUUGACGGAGCGAAGCGACGUCAAAGCGUUCAUUAAAGUCGAGUUGGCUUAGGGAUACGUUCGUUGGGUAGGGGAGCGUUCUGUAAGCCUGUGAAGGUGUGUCGUGAGGCAUGCUGGAGGUAUCAGAAGUGCGAAUGCUGACAUAAGUAACGAUAAAGCGGGUGAAAAGCCCGCUCGCCGGAAGACCAAGGGUUCCUGUCCAACGUUAAUCGGGGCAGGGUGAGUCGACCCCUAAGGCGAGGCCGAAAGGCGUAGUCGAUGGGAAACGGGUUAAUAUUCCCGUACUUGGUGUUACUGCGAAGGGGGGACGGAGAAGGCUAUGUUGGCCGGGCGACGGUUGUCCCGGUUUAAGCGUGUAGGUGUGUGUUCCAGGUAAAUCCGGUUCACUUUAACACUGAGGCGUGACGACGAGGCACUACGGUGCUGAAGCAACAAAUGCCCUGCUUCCAGGAAAAGCCUCUAAGCAUCAGGUAACACGAAAUCGUACCCCAAACCGACACAGGUGGUCAGGUAGAGAAUACCAAGGCGCUUGAGAGAACUCGGGUGAAGGAACUAGGCAAAAUGGUGCCGUAACUUCGGGAGAAGGCACGCUGACACGUAGGUGAAGUGAUUUACUCAUGGAGCUGAAGUCAGUCGAAGAUACCAGCUGGCUGCAACUGUUUAUUAAAAACACAGCACUGUGCAAACACGAAAGUGGACGUAUACGGUGUGACGCCUGCCCGGUGCCGGAAGGUUAAUUGAUGGGGUCAGCGCAAGCGAAGCUCCUGAUCGAAGCCCCGGUAAACGGCGGCCGUAACUAUAACGGUCCUAAGGUAGCGAAAUUCCUUGUCGGGUAAGUUCCGACCUGCACGAAUGGCGUAAUGAUGGCCAGGCUGUCUCC
RNAcentral lists this ribosomal RNA (1041 nucleotides) under Salmonella enterica. RNAcentral's name for it is "partial 23S ribosomal RNA". It matches the Rfam family "Bacterial large subunit ribosomal RNA", at positions 1084 to 2023 of the family's 2925-position model. The record is from RNAcentral. Lineage: Bacteria; Pseudomonadati; Pseudomonadota; Gammaproteobacteria; Enterobacterales; Enterobacteriaceae. RNAcentral also lists the same sequence under 1 other name.